UUUCUUUAUUUCACAUGUACACUCGGGAGCGUAUUUGGAGUUGUGAUACGACUCCAUUCAUCUGUCCCAAAUCAGAUUUGUGCUCAUCGAUACAUUAUAAGCUCGUGUCUAGCAGCCUUUAUCGCGUCAAUAGUGUCCAACGCUUCCUUCUCGCUUCAAAGUUUCAUGUGUUUUAUAUACAUAUAUGUGUUGCUAUUUUUGACUAACAUUUUCC
Molecule: long non-coding RNA, 214 nt
Filed under: Solanum tuberosum (potato)
Lineage: Eukaryota; Viridiplantae; Streptophyta; Magnoliopsida; Solanales; Solanaceae
Description: long non-coding RNA (STUB_LNC001817)
Source: RNAcentral